UUCCGCGGUUCCGUCGUCCACCUAGGGGCGUGGGCACUGUGUGCUCGUGCCUAACAGAUCUGGAGGUCUCUGUUGUUGGUUCUUCCCGUAAGGUUCCUCGAUUCCGGGUCUUAUCCAGCCCUGUGCGGUUAAUGAGAGGACGGACUUGUCACCAUGGUCUUUGCUUCCCUUCCGGGCUCUGGGAUCCGACUGGCCCGUAUUGAUGCCCGUCACCCUGCUGUGUUGACAGGGUUCAGUCUGGAGCCUCAGCUAGCCUCCAGCAAAACUCUUCUGAGGUCAGCCACACCCAGAGCAUUGCAUUAUCAGAGCAGCCUUGGCUGAGGCCACUCUUGACC
This 335-nucleotide long non-coding RNA is filed under the name Mus pahari (shrew mouse). RNAcentral describes it as "lncRNA (MGP_PahariEiJ_G0005059.1)". The record is from RNAcentral. Lineage: Eukaryota; Metazoa; Chordata; Mammalia; Rodentia; Muridae.